ACACCUGAGAAAAUAAAUGUUAAUAUUUGGUACAGUAGCCUUUGUUUGCAAUUACAGAGGUCAAACGUUUCCUGUAGUUUUUCCACCAGGUUUGCACACACUGCAGGAGGGAUUUUGGCCCACUCCUCCACACAGAUCUGGCCUGUCGCUGAGAAACAUGGAGUUUGAGCUCCCUCCAAAGAUUCUCUAUUGGGUUUAGGUCUGGAGACUGGCUAGGCCACGCCAGAACCUUGAUAUGCUUCUUACAGAGCCACUCCUUAUGUAAAUGACCAUUGAAUCCCCAAUCACUGAAGUAGGUCGUCAUCUUUACCUCCAACCAUAGAGGGCAGUGUUGCCAUGGAACUCCUGAGAAAGGCUUUCACAAGAAAGGACUUUAUUAUUGAACUUGAACCAAAUGUUACUUUGUUUGUUUUUGGUUGACUAAUAAUUCUUGCUGCAUACUUAAUGUGGACAUUGUAUUUUUAUUUGUUUUAUUAAGUGUACAUUUUUUACCUCACAUGCUUUUAUUUUGAAGUCUGGAAAAGGAAGUGCAGCAGCACUCUUUGUGUACAUUGGCGCUCUUUUUACGUGAAGCGCCAUUCUGAUUUAACGUUAAGAGAGAAAGGAUAAACCCUUGGGUACUCACUGUACAAAUGUUUGUUUUAAAAGGUUUCUUUCUACAUCUUAGCUACUGGCUGAAGGGCACAAGCUCUUACGGUGUUUUUGGAAAUUAAAUUCUUUAUAAACAUCA
Long non-coding RNA from Siniperca chuatsi (mandarin fish), 730 nucleotides. RefSeq lists it as uncharacterized. Lineage: Eukaryota; Metazoa; Chordata; Actinopteri; Centrarchiformes; Sinipercidae. The record is from RefSeq and is a predicted model, not a curated record. The transcript has 2 exons.